RNAcentral lists this ribosomal RNA (468 nucleotides) under uncultured bacterium. RNAcentral's name for it is "partial 16S ribosomal RNA". It matches the Rfam family "Bacterial small subunit ribosomal RNA", at positions 28 to 507 of the family's 1533-position model. The record is from RNAcentral.
GACGAACGCUGGCGGCGUGCUUAACACAUGCAAGUCGAGCGGAAAGGCCCUGCUUUUGUUGGUUGCUCGAGUGGCGAACGGGUGAGUAACACGUGAGUAACCUGCCCUUGACUUUGGGAUAACUUCAGGAAACUGGGGCUAAUACCGGAUAGAAGCUCCUGCUGCAUGGUGGGGGUUGGAAAGUUUCGGCGGUUGGGGAUGGACUCGCGGCUUAUCAGCUUGUUGGUGGGGUAGUGGCUUACCAAGGCUUUGACGGGUAGCCGGCCUGAGAGGGUGACCGGCCACAUUGGGACUGAGAUACGGCCCAGACUCCUACGGGAGGCAGCAGUGGGGAAUAUUGCACAAUGGGCGGAAGCCUGAUGCAGCAACGCCGCGUGCGGGAUGACGGCCUUCGGGUUGUAAACCGCUUUCGCCUGUGACGAAGCGUGAGUGACGGUAAUGGGUAAAGAAGCACCGGCUAACUACGUG